AUACGGGGGGAGCAAGCGUUGUUCGGAAUUACUGGGCGUAAAGGGGGUCUAGGUGGCUAAGUAAGUUAGGUGUGAAAAUUAUCGGCUUAACCGAUAACCGGCAUUUAAAACUGCUUGGCUAGAGUACGGGAGAGGAGAGCGGAAUUUUGUGUGUAGCGGUGAAAUGUGUAGAUAUGCAAAAGAACACCAGUGGCGAAGGCGGCUCUCUGGCCCGAUACUGACACUGAAGCCCGAAAGCUAGGGGAGCAAACAGGAUUAGAUACCCCAGUAGUCC
RNAcentral lists this ribosomal RNA (274 nucleotides) under uncultured bacterium. RNAcentral's name for it is "partial 16S ribosomal RNA". It matches the Rfam family "Bacterial small subunit ribosomal RNA", at positions 523 to 796 of the family's 1533-position model. The record is from RNAcentral.